AUCAGGGGAUAACUUCGGGAAACCGGAGCUAAUACCGGAUAAUGGAUUUCCUCUCAUGAGGAAAAGCUGAAAGACGGUUUACGCUGUCACUUACAGAUGGGCCCGCGGCGCAUUAGCUAGUUGGUGAGGUAACGGCUCACCAAGGCGACGAUGCGUAGCCGACCUGAGAGGGUGAUCGGCCACACUGGGACUGAGACACGGCCCAGACUCCUACGGGAGGCAGCAGUAGGGAAUCUUCCGCAAUGGACGAAAGUCCAGUGGAGCAACGCCGCGUGAGUGAUGAAGGUUUUCGGAUCGUAAAACUCUGUUGUUAGGGAAGAACAAGUACAAGAGUAACUGCUUGUACCUUCAGGGUACCUAACCAGAAAGCCACGGCUAACUACGUGCCAGCAGCCGCGGUAAUACGUAGGUGGCAAGCGUUGUCCGGAAUUAUUGGGCGUAAAGCGCGCGCAGGCGGUCCUUUAAGUAGUCUGUGAAAGCCCACGGCUCAA
Molecule: ribosomal RNA, 491 nt
Filed under: Niallia circulans
Lineage: Bacteria; Bacillati; Bacillota; Bacilli; Caryophanales; Bacillaceae
Description: bacterial SSU rRNA
Rfam family: Bacterial small subunit ribosomal RNA
Source: RNAcentral